Molecule: long non-coding RNA, 1473 nt
Filed under: Parus major (Great Tit)
Lineage: Eukaryota; Metazoa; Chordata; Aves; Passeriformes; Paridae
Description: lncRNA (ENSPMJG00000007465.1)
Source: RNAcentral
GCACCCUAAAAGCUCCCAGACCCCCGGAGCAGAGCCUGGCACAGCUCCCUGUCCCCUCGGGCAGCCUCCCUUCACAGCCCUCCAUCGGCCGCCCCCAGCACAGGCUCUCAGGAUGCUACUUUUGACAUAGAAUCAAUAAAUUCGAAGUCAAAACCUGGCCUUGUCCUCCUAAGUGCAGCAUGCCGAGGCUCUUUGGAGAGAGGAGAACUGAUGGAUACAGGGAUUUGAAGGACACAGAGGGAAAGUUAUAGCUGGGUUUCCCCUGGGUUUGUGAAUUAGUAUUUUGUUUUGAAAAUCUAGAUAUUUUCACCCUCCUGAGAGCUGCUGCUUUAGGAAAAGCCUUGUUUUCAUCCAAAUGUCUCUAAUAACAAGGCUACAGGUGAGAGGAGAUAUCUGGGUACAAGCAGGUCAACAGGAGCCCCUCUAAGAAGAGAGGAAUGUUUUGUGAACCCAGCCUUGACUUGAGAGGCAGGUCUGCAGGUGGAAGAACUUGUCUUUAUGCGAUAAUUUGUUUCAAAGUUUUCUUUGAAAAGUCUCAGUGAGCCUGUUGUGAGAGAGAGAGAUUGUUUUUACCCUGCAACAAAUUACUCUGGGACUUUCUGUGGUGUGUUUUGAGAUGGUUUUUAAUACAAAUCUUUCCACAGAACUUACACUUGUACUGGAUUGUAAAGACAACUGAAUAAAUUUAAUACAUUUCAUGACUCAUUUGCCAGCACUUCUGAGAUACCUGAAUCUACACGCUCCAUCCUUUGCUAUUAAGCAAAAAAUAGAGAGAUUGAGUAACCUACAAGGAAGAUUUAUUCAAGGUUUAAUCCAAGAAAGGGAUCCAAGACAAGGAAGUAAGCAGAGUACUGUUGUUUUAUAAUCCAGGAAGAAAAUAGGGAUCAAGAGCCCAGCCUUGUCAAUGAGUGAAAUUAGUCAAAAGAAGGGUGGACAGGGAGAAGGAGGCGAGGUGGCCACACUGAUACUGCGGGGAGGUUUGUGUAACACCAACAGAAGCUCCUGCUCUCACCCACGGAGGAUCCAGCUCCAGGCAGCCUGGCCCUGCUCCUCAGGUGUGUGCACAAGGGCAAUCCCUGGCCAGGGCCACCUGGAGACACCGUGUGGGUGUAGCCACUGCAGGGGAGCUGCAUUUUCCUGUAAAUCCUGGGCUGGGUCUGUGUAGGAAGGGGCUUGUUUAUGUAGCACCUGCUGGAGCUCCACUCCCAGUGUACACGAGGUCUAAAUGAUGUGCCUCACCUGGAACUGAAAUUUCUAUUUCUGUAACAACAUUGUUGAAGGGAAGUAGUUGCUCCAUGCAUCCAUUUGUGCUCCAUUUCAAAAUGUUUGUUUGGUCUUUGUGUUUUGUUUUGUUAUUCACGAGAAGUAAACAUUGCACCUCUCACAUCGGUUUCAAAGACAGGACUGCUGGGGCAGGAGAUGGUGAGGGGAUUGAGAGGGAUGGGAGAAGGAAGGAAAUAAAAAAGAAUGAGG